RNAcentral lists this long non-coding RNA (538 nucleotides) under Zostera marina. RNAcentral's name for it is "long non-coding RNA (ZMAR_LNC004568)". Lineage: Eukaryota; Viridiplantae; Streptophyta; Magnoliopsida; Alismatales; Zosteraceae. The record is from RNAcentral.
CAAAAGUGUAAGACAAAAACAAGAAGAAUAGAAGGUUUUGUGAAUUUUUUUUUAAAAUUUUAGCAUUACAAAUAAAAAAUGAAGCAUUACAUGACUCAGGUAUUAGCACGGUCGACACAAAAAUCAACAGUAGUACGAUGGACAAAUAAAGGUGGUAUUAGAUGGAUGAUGGAUGUCAAGGUCAUUUAAUGGUGAAAAGAUGGUAAAAAGAAAACAAAAGGGUAAGACAAAAACAAGAAGAAUAGAAGGUUGCGUGGAUUUUUUUUAAAUUUUUUAGCAUUAACAAUAAAAAAUGAAGCAUUACAUGACUCAGGUAUUAGCACGGUCGACACAAAAAUAAACACUAAUACGAUGGACACAUAAAGGUGGGAUUAGAUGGAUGAUGGAUGUCAAGGUCAUUUAAUGGUGAAAAGAUGGUAAAAAAACAAAAGCGUAGGACAUGAAGGGUGGGGAUAAACACAUGAAGGGUGGGGAUUAAAAAACGAUUAAAAAAAAUAAAAAUAAAAUAAAAACUACACGUGGGUUGCAAAAUGACGCA